UUCGUUACUGAAGCCGGAAAUGAAAGAUGCGCACGUGUUGUGAUUGAACAGUGUCCCUGCAAACACGCUACACCAGGAUUUGUGCACGUCGACUAAAUGUUGCUGCUGUUACCUCAUCUAUUCUCUUAUUCAUUUGAGGACGGUUUUUAAAAUGUCUUUGUCAUUUGACUUUGUUUACUCCUGGAGGGAUUUUGGACCGACUCACGUCACCACAGGGGCGCGCGUGAGAGGCCUGCACGGCCCAGGUGUUUUCCUCAGGUGAACACCGGAGACAAGCUAACAGCUAACAGGAAUGUCUCUGUUGAGCAGAUACAAGCCAGAGUGCUGCCCUGCUCUGUUCUGCCUGAUAAAGUCUGCUGAUUUGGUGGAACAUAUGACUGAUUCUUGCCUGGUGGAACAAAUGACAUCAUUGACUGCCGGCAUGGUGCCAGCACAUUAGGUCGAAGACACGGAGAAGAGAAAUGCGGCACUUUCCAAGAACAUGAACUUGGCACAUUCAACCCUUUUGGCUUCAUCUGAAUAAAAUGCGUAAACACUUUUUCUUACUGGAAACUAAUUUUGUAUACUGCUAUUAUGUAACCUGUUGGCCUUUUUGAUAUUAUAGUUAAGGCGGCAAAAGAAAUGACCAUACGCUGCACAGAAAUGUUGAGUCUGAUUCUUGUAUGUAUUUUCCUUACACAGUACCCAAGUCAUUUGCUGGAA
This is a long non-coding RNA of Paralichthys olivaceus (Japanese flounder), 702 nucleotides long. RefSeq lists it as uncharacterized. Lineage: Eukaryota; Metazoa; Chordata; Actinopteri; Pleuronectiformes; Paralichthyidae. The record is from RefSeq and is a predicted model, not a curated record.